This 451-nucleotide ribosomal RNA is filed under the name uncultured Desulfarculaceae bacterium. Its description in RNAcentral is "bacterial SSU rRNA". It matches the Rfam family "Bacterial small subunit ribosomal RNA", at positions 933 to 1382 of the family's 1533-position model. Lineage: Bacteria; Pseudomonadati; Thermodesulfobacteriota; Desulfarculia; Desulfarculales; Desulfarculaceae. The record is from RNAcentral.
UGGAGCAUGUGGUUUAAUUCGACGCAACGCGAAGAACUUACCUGGGCUUGACAUCCUUUGACAGUCCUGGAAACAGGAUUUUCCCGACUCUGUCGGGGACAGAGUGACAGGUGCUGCAUGGCUGUCGUCAGCUCGUGUCGUGAGAUGUUGGGUUAAGUCCCGCAACGAGCGCAACCCUUGUCUUUAGUUGCCCAUAUUAAGUUAGGCACUCUAAAGAGACUGCCUCGGUUAACGGGAGGAAGUGGGGAUGACGUCAAGUCCUCAUGGCCUUUAUGCCCAGGGCUACACACGUGCUACAAUGGGCGGUACAAUGGGCUGCAACGCCGCGAGGCGAAGCCAAUCCCAAAAAGCCGUUCUCAGUUCGGAUUGGAGUCUGCAACUCGACUCCAUGAAGUCGGAAUCGCUAGUAAUCGUGGAUCAGCAUGCCACGGUGAAUACGUUCCCGGGCCUU